RNAcentral lists this ribosomal RNA (429 nucleotides) under bacterium. RNAcentral's name for it is "partial 16S ribosomal RNA". It matches the Rfam family "Bacterial small subunit ribosomal RNA", at positions 355 to 776 of the family's 1533-position model. The record is from RNAcentral.
UAGGGAAUCUUCGGCAAUGGGGGCAACCCUGACCGAGCAACGCCGCGUGAGUGAAGAAGGUUUUCGGAUCGUAAAGCUCUGUUGUAAGAGAAGAACGUGUGUGAGAGUGGAAAGUUCACACAGUGACGGUAACUUACCAGAAAGGGACGGCUAACUACGUGCCAGCAGCCGCGGUAAUACGUAGGUCCCGAGCGUUGUCCGGAUUUAUUGGGCGUAAAGCGAGCGCAGGCGGUUUAAUAAGUCUGAAGUUAAAGGCAGUGGCUUAACCAUUGUUCGCUUGGGAAACUGUUAAACUUGAGUGCAGAAGGGGAGAGUGGAAUUCCAUGUGUAGCGGUGAGAUGCGUAGAUAUAUGGAGGAACACCGGUGGCGAAAGCGGCUCUCUGGUCUGUAACUGACGCUGAGGCUCGAAAGCGUGGGGAGCAAACAGG